AAGGCUGGGGCCUUCGAGUACAAGUGUGGGAGGCAGAGUGGGGAGGGACACCCCGAUCCAUGGCCUGGGUUGGCCUCAUUGGCUGUCCCUGAAAUGCUGAGGAGGUGGGUUACUUCCCUCCGGCCCAGGCCAGACCCAGGCAGCUGCUCCCCAGCUUUCAUGAGCUUCUUUCUCAGAUUCAAACAGACAGAGAAGAAUAUGGCCCAUUCUGUGGGAAGACAUUGCCCCACAGGAUUGAAACAAAAAGCAACACGAUGACCAUCACCUUUGUCACAGAUGAAUCAGGAGACCACACAGGCUGGAAGAUCCACUACACGAGCACAGCGCAGCCUUGUCCUUAUCCGAUGGCGCCACCUAAUGGCCACGUUUCACCUGUGCAAGCCAAAUACAUCCUGAAAGACAGCUUCUCCAUCUUUUGCGAGACUGGCUAUGAGCUUCUGCAA
This 443-nucleotide small RNA is filed under the name Pan troglodytes (chimpanzee). RNAcentral's name for it is "retained intron". The record is from RNAcentral. Lineage: Eukaryota; Metazoa; Chordata; Mammalia; Primates; Hominidae.